GACGAACGCUGGCGGCGUGCCUAAUACAUGCAAGUUGAGCGAUGAAGAUUGGUGCUUGCACCAAUUUGAAGAGCAGCGAACGGGUGAGUAACGCGUGGGGAAUCUGCCUUUGAGCGGGGGACAACAUUUGGAAACGAAUGCUAAUACCGCAUAAUAACUUUAAACAUACGUUUUAAGUUUGAAAGAUGCAAUUGCAUCACUCAAAGAUGAUCCCGCGUUGUAUUAGCUAGUUGGUGAGGUAAAGGCUCACCAAGGCGAUGAUACAUAGCCGACCUGAGAGGGUGAUCGGCCACAUUGGGACUGAAACACGGCCCAAACUCCUACGGGAGGCAGCAGUAGGGAAUCUUCGGCAAUGGACGAAAGUCUGACCGAGCAACGCCGCGUGAGUGAAGAAGGGUUUCGGAUCGUAAAACUCUGUUGGUAGAGAAGAACGUUGGUGAGAGUGGAAAGCUCAUCAAGUGACGGUAACUACCCAGAAAGGGACGGCUAACUACGUG
This 497-nucleotide ribosomal RNA is filed under the name uncultured bacterium. RNAcentral's name for it is "partial 16S ribosomal RNA". It matches the Rfam family "Bacterial small subunit ribosomal RNA", at positions 28 to 507 of the family's 1533-position model. The record is from RNAcentral.